AUGGCUGCCAUGUGGUCUCUGAUCAUCGCUCUCCUCCUGCUUCUGCUCCCACUCGUGCCGUCCUCCUCCUCCGCCAUCACGCUCCCGCUCCAUGGCAACGUCUACCCUGUCGGCCACUACUAUGUUACGAUGAAGAUUGGUAACCCCCCGAUGCCCUACUUCCUGGACAUCGACACCGGCAGCAACCUCACCUGGCUGGAGUGCAAACACCCGCAACUCGGCUGCCAGCACUGCACCCAGCAUCCAAAACACCCACAUUACUCGCCACAACUUAUCAACUUGAAGGUGGAAUGUAAUAACAAGUACUGUGAUGCACUACGGAAAGACCUGGCAGGUGGUAACCCUAUAUGCCAACAUAAGAAGCCGCAUCAAUGCCACUACAACAUUCAAUACGUUGAUGGGACGUCAGAUGGUGUCGUCUCCUUUGACAUGAUCUCUCUCGGGGAAAAUGGAAAAUCCAUUGCCUUCGGAUGUGGAUACAGCCAGCAACCACAGAAAGAAACAUCACCCGUAGAUGGCGUCCUUGGUCUUGGGAUGGGAACGGUAGGUUUUGUCCCACAACUCAUGCUGCACAAGAUGAUCACCAAGAACAUCAUUGGGCAUUGCCUUGGCAAGGAUGGAGGGGGCUACCUCUCCUUCGGGGAGCAGUUUCACCUGGGAGGCAUAACCUGGGCACCCAUGAGAAAAUAUGAACUUUUCUACUCACCUGGCCAAGCAUCACUACACCUGAACGGGCAGCAGAUAUACAAGCAUGGAGUGAAUGCUGUCUUUGACAGUGGAUCCACCUACACCUACAUACCUGCCCGGAUAUACAAUCCCUUUGUUCUUAAGGUGCAAGAUAUGAUCGGCAGUUCACAUAGGGAGGUGCAUGAUGAUGACCUGCCACAUUGCUGGAAAUUCAAAUCUAUUCACGAGGUUCAGAGGUUGUUCAAGCCACUUUCAUUGCAGUUUCACAACAAAAUUGCCAUGCAUAUCCCUGCUAUGAACUACCUCAUCCACACGAGAAGCAAUAAUUGGUGCUUGGCCAUCCUCAACGGAACGCAGAUCCCUGAUGGAGACCGACGGAUCUUAAUUGGAGAUGCUACAAUGCGGGAUAUGCUUGUGAUAUACGACAAUCAGCAUGGUAGGCUGGGAUGGGUUCACCAACCACAGUGCACCAGGCCUCAUCCUGCUUCGCGUCUCUGA
This 1185-nucleotide ribosomal RNA is filed under the name Triticum aestivum (bread wheat). RNAcentral describes it as "partial small subunit ribosomal RNA". The record is from RNAcentral. Lineage: Eukaryota; Viridiplantae; Streptophyta; Magnoliopsida; Poales; Poaceae.